Molecule: ribosomal RNA, 253 nt
Filed under: uncultured bacterium
Lineage: Bacteria
Description: partial 16S ribosomal RNA
Rfam family: Bacterial small subunit ribosomal RNA
Source: RNAcentral
UACGGAGGGGGCUAGCGUUGUUCGGAAUUACUGGGCGUAAAGCGCACGUAGGCGGCUUUGUAAGUUAGAGGUGAAAGCCCGGGGCUCAACUCCGGAAUUGCCUUUAAGACUGCAUCGCUAGAACGUCGGAGAGGUAAGUGGAAUUCCAAGUGUAGAGGUGAAAUUCGUAGAUAUUCGGAAGAACACCAGUGGCGAAGGCGACUUACUGGACGACUGUUGACGCUGAGGUGCGAAAGCGUGGGGAGCAAACAGG